Molecule: ribosomal RNA, 641 nt
Filed under: Saccharomyces cerevisiae (brewer's yeast)
Lineage: Eukaryota; Fungi; Ascomycota; Saccharomycetes; Saccharomycetales; Saccharomycetaceae
Description: partial 28S ribosomal RNA
Rfam family: Eukaryotic large subunit ribosomal RNA
Source: RNAcentral
AAGAGAGCGUCUAGGCGAACAAUGUUCUUAAAGUUUGACCUCAAAUCAGGUAGGAGUACCCGCUGAACUUAAGCAUAUCAAUAAGCGGAGGAAAAGAAACCAACCGGGAUUGCCUUAGUAACGGCGAGUGAAGCGGCAAAAGCUCAAAUUUGAAAUCUGGUACCUUCGGUGCCCGAGUUGUAAUUUGGAGAGGGCAACUUUGGGGCCGUUCCUUGUCUAUGUUCCUUGGAACAGGACGUCAUAGAGGGUGAGAAUCCCGUGUGGCGAGGAGUGCGGUUCUUUGUAAAGUGCCUUCGAAGAGUCGAGUUGUUUGGGAAUGCAGCUCUAAGUGGGUGGUAAAUUCCAUCUAAAGCUAAAUAUUGGCGAGAGACCGAUAGCGAACAAGUACAGUGAUGGAAAGAUGAAAAGAACUUUGAAAAGAGAGUGAAAAAGUACGUGAAAUUGUUGAAAGGGAAGGGCAUUUGAUCAGACAUGGUGUUUUGUGCCCUCUGCUCCUUGUGGGUAGGGGAAUCUCGCAUUUCACUGGGCCAGCAUCAGUUUUGGUGGCAGGAUAAAUCCAUAGGAAUGUAGCUUGCCUCGGUAAGUAUUAUAGCCUGUGGGAAUACUGCCAGCUGGGACUGAGGACUGCGACGUAAGUCAAG